Molecule: ribosomal RNA, 433 nt
Filed under: uncultured bacterium
Lineage: Bacteria
Description: partial 16S ribosomal RNA
Rfam family: Bacterial small subunit ribosomal RNA
Source: RNAcentral
GGGGGGGGGGGGGGGGGGGGGGGGGGGGGGGGGGGCGGGGGGGCUCUGCGGGGGUGGUGGGGGGCGGGUGGGGGAGGCGGGGGGACGUGCCGGGAGGGUCGGAAUGACUCGGGGGAACGUGUUCGAAUACCGGCUGUGCCCUGCGGGGGACAGAUUUCUGGCCUUUAGAGCGGCCCGCGUCCUAUUAGGUCGGUGGUGAGGUGCAGGCUCACCAAGGCGACGGUCAGUAGCUGGUCUGAGACGAUGAUCAGCCACCUUGGGACUGAGACACGGCCCCAACUCCUACGGGAUGCAGCAGUGGGGAAUCUUGCGCAAUGGGCGAAAGCCUGACGCAGCCAUGCCGCGUGAAUGAUGAAGGUCUUAGGAUUGUAAAAUUCUUUCACCGGGGACGAUAAUGACGGUACCCGGAGAAGAAGCCCCGGCUAACUUCGUG